AUACUUACCUGGCAGGGGAGAUACCAUGAUCACGAAGGUGGUUUUCCCAGGGCAAGGCUUAUCCAUUGCACUCCGGAUGUGCUGACCCCUGCGAUUCCACCACCCCCCAAAAAAAAAUUUUUUUUAAAAGGAGCACAAAGUGAGUCUGUAACCCCAG
Small nuclear RNA from Mustela putorius furo (domestic ferret), 157 nucleotides. Its record names the gene U1. It matches the Rfam family "U1 spliceosomal RNA". Rfam says of the family: U1 is a small nuclear RNA (snRNA) component of the spliceosome (involved in pre-mRNA splicing). Its 5' end forms complementary base pairs with the 5' splice junction, thus defining the 5' donor site of an intron. There are significant differences in sequence and secondary structure between metazoan and yeast U1 snRNAs, the latter being much longer (568 nucleotides as compared to 164 nucleotides in human). Lineage: Eukaryota; Metazoa; Chordata; Mammalia; Carnivora; Mustelidae. The record is from Ensembl.